CAAUAUCGUAUAUUGAAGUUGUUGCGGUUACAACGCUCGUCGUUGGAUUUCUGUUGAGGUCGAACAGUGCGCCUAUGGUGGCGCAACAUGGCUGCGGCUUCGGCAUCUUCUUGGAGAGCGCAUCUGCACUUACCUGUGUGGAUCGUACUUCAAGUCAGUUACUUUUGAGGAAUUGUGAGUGUUUCAAGCAGGCUUACGCCGUUGAAUCCGUUAGCAUGGAAUAAUAGAAUAGGACCUCGGUUCUAUUUUGUUGGUUUUGAGAGCUGGGGCAGGCGAUUGAUAGGGACGGAUGGGGGCGUCCGAACUUUACUGUCAGAGGUGAAAUUCUUAGAUCGGUCAAAGGCGAACUACUGCGAACGCAUUCGCCAAGCAUGUUUUCGUUAAUCAAGAACGAAAGUUAGGGAU
This 405-nucleotide ribosomal RNA is filed under the name uncultured eukaryote. Its description in RNAcentral is "SSU rRNA". It matches the Rfam family "Eukaryotic small subunit ribosomal RNA", at positions 592 to 997 of the family's 1831-position model. The record is from RNAcentral.